Molecule: ribosomal RNA, 548 nt
Filed under: uncultured bacterium
Lineage: Bacteria
Description: bacterial SSU rRNA
Rfam family: Bacterial small subunit ribosomal RNA
Source: RNAcentral
UAGGGAAUCUUCGGCAAUGGACGGAAGUCUGACCGAGCAACGCCGCGUGAGUGAAGAAGGUUUUCGGAUCGUAAAGCUCUGUUGUAAGAGAAGAACGAGUGUGAGAGUGGAAAGUUCACACUGUGACGGUAUCUUACCAGAAAGGGACGGCUAACUACGUGCCAGCAGCCGCGGUAAUACGUAGGUCCCGAGCGUUGUCCGGAUUUAUUGGGCGUAAAGCGAGCGCAGGCGGUUAGAUAAGUCUGAAGUUAAAGGCUGUGGCUUAACCAUAGUACGCCUUGGAAACUGUUUAACUUGAGUGCAAGAGGGGAGAGUGGAAUUCCAUGUGUAGCGGUGAAAUGCGUAGAUAUAUGGAGGAACACCGGUGGCGAAAGCGGCUCUCUGGCUUGUAACUGACGCUGAGGCUCGAAAGCGUGGGGAGCAAACAGGAUUAGAUACCCUGGUAGUCCACGCCGUAACGAUGAGUGCUAGGUGUUAGACCCUUUCCGGGGUUUAGUGCCGCAGCUAACGCAUUAAGCACUCCGCCUGGGGAGUACGACCGCAAGGUU